UCUGUUUUAUAUGAAAAUUGAAGAAAGAGAGAGAAGGAACGUGAGUUAGUUGAUAUUUCUUCACUGCCGAGGGUCAAUUGGAGUUCCUGAGGGAGCGUGCCAACGAACAAAGAUUGAAUGCAGCAUCAACGUCACGUGCUGUUAGUAAUGAUGAUCAGUAACAGUCAUGUGCAGAUCCUGUCUCAUGAUAAGAGAAAAAGUAGGCUAAUCUCAGCUUGCACUAUCAGGGCUCCGAACCCCUUACAGUGUGCAUGGGGAGGAGAAGUUGUUUUGACAAUCACACCAAACAUGACUCAAGCGCCUAGAUCUAGAAGAGCUCCGUGUCAACAAGACCGUACUUCGAUAGGAUGUCUAACGCGCUGUGGCUGAGAUAAAGCUUCCGCCAAGUGAAGUGUGACCAACCUACCCCAAGGACAACCCCAAACAGAUGACGAUGAUGGCGGAAUCGAUCGUUGUACGGGCCUGAUAAACGGUUCCAGCUGGUCACCCUCCAGCCGGCACUCUCUCAGGUCACCUUGCUCAAUAAUCGCCGUCAGGCGGCGACAUGUUCAGCCCACUCUAAACUACCGUACGAAAAACUACCCAUACAGCACCGCCACAUGGAGGCAGAGCAGUUUUGCUGGUAGGUCAUUUAUUUCCGCUUGUAGCAACGCUGUUCGAUUUAAUAAUAAGCUGUUGAGUGGA
Anopheles gambiae (African malaria mosquito) is the source of this 684-nucleotide long non-coding RNA. RefSeq lists it as uncharacterized. The transcript is spliced from 2 exons. The record is from RefSeq and is a predicted model, not a curated record. NCBI's taxonomy places the organism in Eukaryota, Metazoa, Arthropoda, Insecta, Diptera, Culicidae.